Molecule: transfer RNA, 70 nt
Filed under: Platysternon megacephalum (big-headed turtle)
Lineage: Eukaryota; Metazoa; Chordata; Testudines; Platysternidae
Description: tRNA-Phe
Source: RNAcentral
GUUAUUGUAGCUUACACUAAAGCAUGGCACUGAAGUUGCCAAGAUGGGUAAUCAAAAUACCCCAAAAACA